Molecule: ribosomal RNA, 712 nt
Filed under: uncultured Zopfiella
Lineage: Eukaryota; Fungi; Ascomycota; Sordariomycetes; Sordariales; Chaetomiaceae
Description: eukaryotic LSU rRNA
Rfam family: Eukaryotic large subunit ribosomal RNA
Source: RNAcentral
GCGCAGGAAAAGAAACCAACAGGGAUUGCCCCAGUAACGGCGAGUGAAGCGGCAACAGCUCAAAUUUGAAAUCUGGCUUCGGCCCGAGUUGUAAUUUGCAGAGGAAGCUUUAGGCGCGGCACCAUCUGAGUCCCCUGGAACGGGGCGCCACAGAGGGUGAGAGCCCCGUAUAGAUGGAUGCCUAGCCUGUGUAAAGCUCCUUCGACGAGUCGAGUAGUUUGGGAAUGCUGCUCAAAAUGGGAGGUAAAUUUCUUCUAAGCUAAAUACCGGCCAGAGACCGAUAGCGCACAAGUAGAGUGAUCGAAAGAUGAAAAGCACUUUGAAAAGAGGGUUAAAUAGCACGUGAAAUUGUUGAAAGGGAAGCGCUUGUGACCAGACUUGCGCCGGGCGGAUCAUCCGGUGUUCUCACCGGUGCACUCCGCCCGGCUCAGGCCAGCAUCGGUUCUCGUGGGGGGAUAAAGGCACCGGGAACGUAGCUCCUCCGGGAGUGUUAUAGCCCGGGGCGUAAUGCCCUCGCGGGGACCGAGGACCGCGCAUCUGCAAGGAUGCUGGCGUAAUGGUCAUCAGCGACCCGUCUUGAAACACGGACCAAGGAGUCAAGGUUUUGCGCGAGUGUUUGGGUGUAAAACCCGCACGCGUAAUGAAAGUGAACGUAGUGAGAGCUUCGCGCAUCAUCGACCGAUCCUGAUGGUCUCGGAUGGAUUUGAAAUCA